AGAGCCACACCUGUGGCAUAUGGAGGUUCCCAGGCUAGGAGCUGAAUCAGAGCUACAGCUGCCAGCCUACACCACAGCCACAGCAACGCAGGAUCCGAGUCACGUCUGUGACCUACACCACAGCUCAUGGCAAUGUCAGAUCCUUAACCCACUGAGCGAGACCAGGGAUGGAAUGCACAACUUCAUGGUUCCUAGUUGGAUUCGUUUCCCCUUCGCCACAAAGGGAACUCCAAGGCUGAUAUUCUUCUUGUGCUCACCUUAUGCAAGGGCCACUGCUAUGUCUUUAACAUUGAUUAUUGUAUAAGAACCUCACAAUGACCCUUUGAGUGUUAAUAAUAAUAGGCACUAUUAUUUCUAUUUAACAGAUGAAGACACUUAAACUUUAAAUAUUAAUAAUAAUAAUCAGUUUGGUUAGAUUAUGGAUACUUAAGAAUUUAUAAUUUUUGUUUAAUAUUACUAUUUUUAAACAUGAAAACAUAUUACUUUUUUGUUGCUAUAAAGUAUAAUUAACAUAAAAUUAUUGACCAUUUUAACCACUUUUACGUACAACUGAUGGCAAUAAAUACAUUCACAAUGUUGUGCAAUCACCACUAUCCACUUCCAGAAAGUUCAUUAUCCAAAACAGAAACUCUAUACCCACUAAACAACUUCUUAUUCCCCAAACUCCCAGUCCUAGGCAACCUCAAUUCUCUUUUUUGUCUCUAUGAAUUUUAUAAUAUUUUCAAGGUUCUCAAUGAAACUAGAACAAACCCUCAUACCAUGCACAAAAACAAACUCAAAAUGGCUGAAAGACUUAAACAUAAGACAUGACAUCAUAAAAACUUCUAGAAGAGAACACAGGCAAAACAUCCUCUGACUCACCUGUACAAAUGUUUUUUUAGGUCAGUCUCCCAAGACAACCGAAAUAAAAACAAAAAAGAACCAAUGGGACCUAAUCAAACUUACAAGCUUUUUGCACAGCAGAGAAAACAAUUAAAAAAACCCGAAAAGACAACCUACAGAAUGGGAGAAAAUACUUGCAAACGAUGCAACCCACAAGGGCUUAAUCUCCAAAAUAUACAAACAACUCAUACAACUCAACAACAACAAAACAAACAACCUAAUCAAAAAAUGGAAAGAAGACCCUCUCCUGGGCUUCUAUCUGAAGAAAACCAUGACUUGAACAGAUACAUGUGCCCCAGUGUUCACUGCAGCAUUAUAUACAAUAGCCAAGACAUGGAAGCAACCUAAAUGUCCACUGACAGAGGAGUGGUUAAAGAAGAUGUAGUAUAUAUAUACAACAGAAUAUUACUCAGCCAUAAAAAGAAUGAAAUAAUGGCAUUUGCAGCAACAUGGAUGGACCUUGAAAUUAUCACACUAAGUGAGGUUAGACAGUGAGACAUAAACAUCAUAUGCUAUCACUUACAAGUGGAAUCUGAAAAAAAGGAUACAAUGAACUUACUUGCAGAACAGAAACAGACUCACAGAUUUUGCAAAAAGAAAACCCAGAAAGACACAAUUUCUAAUUCCUUGAAGGCUGGUGGAGGAGGUAUGUUGUAUAUGAAUCACACCAGAAAAAUGACUGUUUUCCUCUCUGUAUUCAACUCUCUGUCCAUUAAAGAAAUUGAGCAUGUACUAAAAAAUCUUCCUAUAAAAAAGAAACAAAAUAAAACCACAAGCACAGCUUAUUUUUACUCAGGAGUUCUUUCAAGCAUUUAAAGAACAACAACAACAACAACAAAAACAAUACCAAAUCUACACAAAUCUACCCAGAAAAUAAACGAGACUGAAAUACUUCCCAACUUAUUCUAUUAGACCAGGAUUACCCCACUAACAAAAUCAAAGACAUUACAAUAAAAGAAACUUAUCUUAUUAAAUAGCUUUUUUGGGCGUUUUCUUGUGGCUCAGUGAGUUAAGGAUCUGGCAUUGGCACUGCAGUGGCUGGAGUCACUGCUGUGCCAUGAGUUCAGUCCCUGGCCUGGAAAUUUCUACAUGUUGUGAGUGUGGCCAAAAAAUAGGUUUUUAAUAACUUAUUAGAUACUUAACUAUUUAUUUUAUUAAAUACAUAAAUAAAACAGAUGACAAAUAACUCCUGAUGGAUAUUGACAUAAAACGGCCUAACAAAAUUUUAGUAAAUUGAAUUCAUCAAUUUUUUUUUUCUUUUCUAGGGCCACACCAGAGGCAUAUGGAGGUUCCCAGGCUAGGGGUCGAAUCAGAGCUAUAGCUGCCAGCCUACGCCAGAGCCAUAGCAAUGCCAGAUCUGAGCAUGUCUUCGACCUACACCACAGCUCACGGCAACACUGGAUCCUUAACCCACUGAGCAAGGCCAGGGAUCGAACCUGCAACCUCCUGGUUCCUAGUUGGAGUCGUUAACUACUGAGCCACGAUGGGAACUCCCAAAUUCAAUUAUUUAUGGAGUUCCUGUUGUCGCUCAGUGGAAAUGAAUUUGGCUAGUAUUCAUGAGGAUGCAGGUUUGAUCCCUGCUCUUGCUCAGUGGGUUGAGGAUCCAGCAUAGCUGCAGCUCUGAUUGAACCCCUAGCCUGGGAACUUCCAUAUGCCAUGGGGGUCAAAACGGAGCUACAGCUGCUGGCCUAUGCCACGGCCACAGCAAUGCAGGAUCCCAGCCACAUCUGCAACCUACACCACAGCUCACGGCAAUGUGGGGUCCCUGACUCACUAGUCAAGGACAGGGGAUUGAGCCUGAGUCCUUAUGGAUACUAAUCGGAUUUGUUUCCACUGUGCCACAAUGGGAACGCUGGGAUCACUUUCUUAAUUUCUCUUUCAGAGAGCUUCCAUCUCUCUGUUGAAAUUCUCAGUUUUGUUCAUAACAUUCUUUCAUUGUUUAUCAAAUUGUCUAUUUGUGCACUCACUGUAUUAUACACAGAGUGUACUUAAAACAGUUAUUCUGAAUUCUUUAUCAGGCAAUUUAGAGAUUUCCAUUUCUUUGGUGUCAGUUUUUAGAAAAGUAUUGUGUUCCUUUGGUGAUAUCAUGUUUCCUUGAUUU
RNAcentral lists this long non-coding RNA (2983 nucleotides) under Sus scrofa (pig). RNAcentral's name for it is "lncRNA (ENSSSCG00030067423.1)". The record is from RNAcentral. Lineage: Eukaryota; Metazoa; Chordata; Mammalia; Artiodactyla; Suidae.